This 257-nucleotide signal recognition particle RNA is filed under the name Candidatus Pacearchaeota archaeon. Its description in RNAcentral is "signal recognition particle sRNA large type". It matches the Rfam family "Bacterial large signal recognition particle RNA". From Rfam's summary of the family: The signal recognition particle (SRP) is a universally conserved ribonucleoprotein involved in the co-translational targeting of proteins to membranes. Archaeal SRP consists of a 7S RNA and homologues of the eukaryotic SRP19 and SRP54 proteins. In most bacteria, the SRP consists of a 4.5S RNA and the Ffh protein (a homologue of the eukaryotic SRP54 protein). The record is from RNAcentral. Lineage: Archaea; Nanobdellati.
GUAGGCAAGCUGGCGCGCUAGCCCUGCGCCGUCAUGCAAAUGGGCUUUAUGGCAGGCUUAAAGGAGCGAGUGAGGCGGACUCUUUGCAGUCUCUUGCUGGACGUUGACGUUUUGUCCUGUUCGAUCUUGCUCCUGUGAAACGGGUCAGGCCUUGAUCGGAGCAGCCCUAAGCAGGAAACAAGGUGCUUUCAGGGUUGCAAAACCGAGAAAAGCAAGAGGGCUCUGCAACGGGAAACCCAAGCAAACUCCCUGCCUAC